GAGUUUGAUCCUGGCUCAGAACGAACGCUGGCGGCAGGCCUAAUACAUGCAAGUCGAACGCACCGCAAGGUGAGUGGCAGACGGGUGAGUAACGCGUGGGAACCUUCCUUGCAGUACGGAAUAACUCCGGGAAACCGGUGCUAAUACCGUAUACGCCCCUCGGGGGAAAGAUUUAUCGCUGCAAGAUGGGCCCGCGUCGGAUUAGCUAGUUGGUGGGGUAAUGGCCUACCAAGGCUACGAUCCGUAGCUGGUCUGAGAGGAUGAUCAGCCACACUGGGACUGAGACACGGCCCAGACUCCUACGGGAGGCAGCAGUAGGGAAUAUUGGACAAUGGGCGAAAGCCUGAUCCAGCCAUGCCGCGUGAGUGAAGAGGCCUUAGGGUUGUAAAGCUCUUUUGGCGGGGACGAUAAUGACGGUACCCGCAGAAUAAGCUCCGGCUAACUUCGUGCCAGCAGCCGCCGCCGU
RNAcentral lists this ribosomal RNA (466 nucleotides) under uncultured Alphaproteobacteria bacterium. Its description in RNAcentral is "bacterial SSU rRNA". It matches the Rfam family "Bacterial small subunit ribosomal RNA", at positions 9 to 524 of the family's 1533-position model. Lineage: Bacteria; Pseudomonadati; Pseudomonadota; Alphaproteobacteria. The record is from RNAcentral.